CAUGUCUUUUUGAUUAUAAUAUAAAGUCUGACCUGCCCUAUGAAUAAUUAUUUUUAAAUGGCCGCGGUAAUUUGACCGUGCAAAGGUAGCAUAAUAAUUAGUUUUUUAAUUGAGAACUGGUAUGAAAGGUUUGACGAGGGAAAAACUGUCUCAAUUUAAUUUUAAUUAGAAUUUUAUUUUUAAGUAAAAAAGCUUAAAUUAUUUUAAAAGACGAGAAGACCCUAUAGAAUUUUAUAUUUAUAUAUAUGUUUAAAAAUUUAAGUAUUUUAAUAAAAAUUAAAUAUAUUUAUAAAUAUUUAAUUGGGGCAAUUAAAAAAUUUAAUAAACUUUUUUUAUAUUAAAACAUUAAUGUAUGAAUAAGUGAUCCAUAAUUUUAUGAUUAUAAGAUUAAAUUACCUUAGGGAUAACAGCGUUAUUUUUUUUUAGAGUUCAUAUCGAAAAAAAAGUUUGCGACC
This 455-nucleotide ribosomal RNA is filed under the name Pachysoma sp. dgi1. RNAcentral describes it as "partial 16S ribosomal RNA". The record is from RNAcentral. Lineage: Eukaryota; Metazoa; Arthropoda; Insecta; Coleoptera; Scarabaeidae.